GAUGAACGCUGGCGGCGUGCCUAAUACAUGCAAGUCGAGCGAACAGACGAGGAGCUUGCUCCUCUGACGUUAGCGGCGGACGGGUGAGUAACACGUGGAUAACCUACCUAUAAGACUGGGAUAACUUCGGGAAACCGGAGCUAAUACCGGAUAAUAUAUUGAACCGCAUGGUUCAAUAGUGAAAGACGGUUUUGCUGUCACUUAUAGAUGGAUCCGCGCCGCAUUAGCUAGUUGGUAAGGUAACGGCUUACCAAGGCAACGAUGCGUAGCCGACCUGAGAGGGUGAUCGGCCACACUGGAACUGAGACACGGUCCAGACUCCUACGGGAGGCAGCAGUAGGGAAUCUUCCGCAAAGGGCGAAAGCUUGACGGAGCAACGCCGCGUGAGUGAUGAAGGUCUUCGGAUCGUAAAACUCUGUUAUUAGGGAAGAACAAAUGUGUAAGUAACUAUGCACGUCCUGACGGUACCUAAUCAGAAAGCCACGGCUAACUACGUG
RNAcentral lists this ribosomal RNA (497 nucleotides) under uncultured bacterium. RNAcentral's name for it is "partial 16S ribosomal RNA". It matches the Rfam family "Bacterial small subunit ribosomal RNA", at positions 28 to 507 of the family's 1533-position model. The record is from RNAcentral.